This 1425-nucleotide ribosomal RNA is filed under the name uncultured marine eukaryote. RNAcentral's name for it is "bacterial SSU rRNA". It matches the Rfam family "Bacterial small subunit ribosomal RNA". The record is from RNAcentral.
GAGUUUGAUCAUGGCUCAGGAUGAACGCUGGCGGUAUGCUUAACACAUGCAAGUCGAACGAAAGUUUUCCAACUUUAGUGGCGAACGGGUGCGUAAUACGUGAGAAUCUACCCUUAGGAGGAGAAUAACUGCUGGAAACGGCUGCUAAGUCUCCAUAUGCCGAGAGGUGAAAUAGUUUUACUGCCUAAGGAUGAGCUCACGCCUGAUUAGCUUGUUGGUAAGGUAAAGGCUUACCAAGGCCACGAUCAGUAGCUGGUUUGAGAGAACGAUCAGCCACACUGGGACUGAGACACGGCCCAGACUCCUCCGGGAGGCAGCAGUGAGGAAUUUUCCGCAAUGGGCGAAAGCCUGACGGAGCAAUACCGCGUGAGGGAUGAAGGAUUUUGGUCUGUAAACCUCUUUUCUCAAGAAAGAAGUUCUGACGGUACUUGAGGAAUAAGCAUCGGCUAACUCCGUGCCAGCAGCCGCGGUAAUACGGGGGAUGCAAGCGUUAUCCGGAAUCAUUGGGCGUAAAGCGCCUGUAGGUUGUUUAAUAAGUCUGUUGUUAAAGACUGGGGCUUAACCCCAGGAAAGCAAUGGAAACUACUAGACUAGAGUAUGGUAGGGGUAAAGGGAAUUUCUAGUGUAGCGGUGAAAUGCGUAGAUAUUAGAAAGAACACCGGUGGCGAAAGCGCUUUACUGGACCAUUACUGACACUCAGAGGCGAAAGCUAGGGUAGCCAAAGGGAUUAGAUACCCCUGUAGUCCUAGCCGUAAACGAUGGAUACUAGAUGUUGCGCUUAUUGUGCAGUGUCGUAGCUAACGCGUUAAGUAUCCCGCCUGGGGAGUACGAUCGCAAGAUUAAAACUCAAAGGAAUCGACGGGGGCCCGCACAAGCGGUGGAGCAUGUGGUUUAAUUCGAAGCAACGCGCUGAACCUUACCAUCCCUUGACAUCCCUGUCGCGGAUCCAGAGAUGGAUCUUUCAGCUAGGCUGGACAGGUGACAGGUGCUGCAUGGCUGUUGUCAGCUCGUGUCGUGAGAUGUUCGGUUAAGUCCGGCAACGAGCGCAACCCCUGUCUUUAGUUGCCAUCAUUUAGUUGGGCACUCUAAAGGGACUGCCGGUGAUAAGCCGGAGGAAGGUGGGGACGACGUCAAGUCCUCAUGGCCCUUACGGGAUGGGCUACACACGUGCUACAAUGGCAGUGACAAUGGGUUAAUCCCCAAAAACUGUCUCAGUUCGGAUUGAGGUCUGAAACUCGACCUCAUGAAGUUGGAAUCGCUAGUAAUCGCGUAACAGCAUGACGCGGUGAAUACGUUCCCGGGCCUUGUACACACCGCCCGUCACACCAUGGGAAUUGGUUUUACCUGAAGACUGUGUGCCAACCGCAAGGAGGCAGCAGGCCACGGUAAGAUCAGUGACUGGGGUGAAGUCGUAACAAGGUAACC